UGACAAUGAUGGUCCCCAAAAUAGUGACAUGAAGGAUAGAUCACCAAAUGUUUUGCCCCAAGUAUGCAUAAUAUGCGAGAAACAAUUCGAUUUGUUUGUCAUGGUACAGUAUGUCUUACAUUGUAAUUAUAUGGUAUAUUUAUCAUUAAAUGAAAUCAUUAUACAGUUGCUAGUAAAUGGUACAGCGAUCACAUAGCAAAAUAAUCACCUGAAUAAUAUUUAUUCUAAAAUUAUUACCCGUGAAGAAAAACCUUUCGUGUGAGAAGCUGGCACAAAGAAAAAGAUCAACUACAGGAUCUAUUUAAAAAUUGUGGAAAAGAUUGUGUUGCCAUUGAGGUUAAGUACUGUACCAUAAUAAAUGAUACAAGAAUUAUACUAACGAUUUGUAUGGACAGGAUACAGUAAGACAUCAUGUGAAACAACUUCAAUGGUUUUGUACAACAUGGGAUAUGAUGAUAAUCACAGUGCUACACAGUCCAUAUUGAAUGAACGAACUACAAAUUCUGUAUCAUGCUUCUAUAUUGCUUAAGAAAAAGCUAGCUACUGUGAAGUGGCUUAUGGACCCUUGGCUGCCUGUAGCUGAAUGAAUAACUUUACUAAAUGAAUUUCUUGUAAAGACGUUAUUCGAUCUACAGAGUGGAAUUCAUAGCAG
Non-coding RNA from Paramuricea clavata, 652 nucleotides. The record is from the annotation of a GenBank genome assembly. Lineage: Eukaryota; Metazoa; Cnidaria; Anthozoa; Malacalcyonacea; Plexauridae.